This 460-nucleotide ribosomal RNA is filed under the name uncultured bacterium. RNAcentral's name for it is "partial 16S ribosomal RNA". It matches the Rfam family "Bacterial small subunit ribosomal RNA", at positions 338 to 795 of the family's 1533-position model. The record is from RNAcentral.
CCUACGGGUGGCUGCAGUGAGGAAUAUUGGUCAAUGGACGAGAGUCUGAACCAGCCAAGUAGCGUGAAGGAUGACUGCCCUAUGGGUUGUAAACUUCUUUUAUAUGGGAAUAAAAUGUUCCACGUGUGGGCUUUUGUAUGUACCAUAUGAAUAAGGAUCGGCUAACUCCGUGCCAGCAGCCGCGGUAAUACGGAGGAUCCGAGCGUUAUCCGGAUUUAUGGGGUUUAAAGGGAGCGUAGGUGGGUUGUUAAGUCAGUUGUGAAAGUUUGGGGCUCAACCGUAAAAUUGCAGUUGAAACUGGCAGUCUUGAGUACAGUAGAGGUGGGCGGAAUUCGUGGUGUAGCGGUGAAAUGCUUAGAUAUCACGCAGAACUCCGAUUGCGAAGGCAGCUCACUGGACUGCAACUGACACUGAGGCACGAAAGUGUGGGUAUCAAACAGGAUUAGAUACCCUUGUAGUC